AGUGAACGCUGGCGGUAGGCCUAACACAUGCAAGUCGAACGGCAGCACAGUAAGAGCUUGCUCUUACGGGUGGCGAGUGGCGGACGGGUGAGGAAUACAUCGGAAUCUACUUUUUCGGGGGGGAUAACGUAGGGAAACUUACGCUAAUACCGCAUAUGACCUACGGGUGAAAGCAGUGGAUCUUCGGACCUUGCGCGAUUGAAUGAGCCGAUGUCGGAUUAGCUAGUUGGCGGGGUAAAGGCCCACCAAGGCGACGAUCCGUAGCUGGUCUGAGAGGAUGAUCGGCCACACUGGAACUGAGACACGGUCCAGACUCCUACGGGAGGCAGCAGUGGGGAAUAUUGGACAAUGGGCGCAAGCCUGAUCCAGCCAUACCGCGUGGGUGAAGAAGGCCUUCGGGUUGUAAAGCCCUUUUGUUGGGAAAGAAAAGCAGCAGGUUAAUACCCCGCUGUUCUGACGGUACCCAAAGAAUAAGCACCGGCUAACUUCGUG
RNAcentral lists this ribosomal RNA (492 nucleotides) under uncultured bacterium. RNAcentral describes it as "partial 16S ribosomal RNA". It matches the Rfam family "Bacterial small subunit ribosomal RNA", at positions 29 to 507 of the family's 1533-position model. The record is from RNAcentral.